ACCUCGCCUAAAAUUAGCAGACAAGGGAAAUUGUUUACAUACGCAACACAUUUUAUCAAUGGUGUCUUGAUAAGUUCAUUUCUAAAAUGAUGUAACCAAUUAAUGUAGCUACUAUAUGUUCUAUAGCACUCGCCAGCUUGUAGUCCUAAAAAAACAGAAAUUAGUUACCUCUGGUUCUUCAGCCUUUCUCAUUGGGGAAUGGGAUUUGGGAUAAACAACUAAAAUAAAGGUCUGAGGUUAACACAGGCUUAGGAGAUCUUAUAUGUUUUGUUCUAUGGCAUAAUAGACAGUUAAUAUGAACUUUAGGAAUUGUGAAGCCUUUAUAUGUUGGUUUUGAUUACAAAAGUGAGUUAGCUGAUGAAGAUUCUCAGAACAAAACGUAUCAAAUCUCCUAAGCCUGGGUUUCCCAUAUACCUAGUUUUCUGUGUUUAUCCCCAAAAAUAUAUAUACACUAAUUGCAACAAAAUAAAUCAAAUUGAUUUCCCCGUAGGGUUUGGCCAAUGAGCAGGGUUGCCAUGUCUGCGGUUGUCUUGCAAAAUUGGGCUACUUUGAAAACAAUGUUGUGGGUGAAAAUGUAUUGGUCGCGGGUUGCAGGUUUUUGGGCUACUUCUAAAUAGCAUUUCUCUUUAAUUAUUUUUAAUUUUUAAAAUUUCACUGUUACCUGCUACUGCUGACAAUCAGGUAGUGAGGCAGGCUGUUGUUGAGUGCGUGAGUAGAGUGGUGGGGAGGGAGGGGUGGGCCGGAGUUGAGAGAGAGCUGCAGCAGGUAGUCAUGACAAGUGAUGUGAGAAAAACAUACUUCUCCCUCAUAAUUCAUAUUUGCCUCGUUUGUUGUAUCCUGACCACCCCAAGACCUACCAAUCAUUACUAGAGACAACACAGGAAAGGUGAGAAACUGAGAAAAUCAUCCAACAGUUUCAGAGAGAGGAUCGAAUGAUGUACUUUCUCUCUGGAUAUGUAGCAAAGGCUCGAAAUUUAGGUUGUCCCGUCGACGAUUUUUUUAAAAAUGUAGUUCUGAGACGAUAGAUCCAAAACACAUACAACUACUGUACAAUUUUAAAAGCAAUGAGGCAAAUGCGCAACAUAUCAGAAGGUUUGGCUUAAAAUGUUGAUAAACUAUUAUUUUGUUCACAUACGCACAGAAAUGCACACGCAGAAGUAGCCUAGGGUACACGUGAAUGUUCCAAAAUGCAAUUAGCAGGAACGCAGUUCUACAAAAAUAAAGAUAUAAAAAAUAAAUGCACUGCACAUGUGAGCAGGUUUGAUGUGACAAAGAUGAAAAAAGCAGUUAGAAAUUUAGAACGAGGUGAAAUCUAAAGAUGCAACAACUAGCUUGGGUUACUAAUAUGACUAGGAUGUGGUCUUCUGGAAAAUAGAGAAAGUUGAUUUGAAAACCAAUAGAACAUAGAAAUGCUGGUUUCUAUGGCAUAAGGGCGUUUUUAUAAACAAUUCCCUCAACAUUUCUAUGAUCUGAUUUUGGAUAUAGGGUACUUUGAAACAAGCUAAGAUAUGCCUAAAAAAGGACAACUUCCAGGUUUCAAACAAUUACCUUCAUGGUUAAAUAGUUUCAAAAUGCUGACUGCCUCCAUUCAGAUUUCAAGGUGUGUGCAGUGCGUAACAGGCACUGUCCUUCACUCUCCGCUCGUGACCAAUGAUCUAAACUAACUGUGCCUCGAGAAAGCUAUGUCAACAGAAUCAAACCUUUAAACGUUAAUGUGUUAAAUAUCCUACUUGAUAAAUGUCAAACAUGACUGGCGUUCAGCCUAUAUUUAAGUCUCAUUAAAGUUUACCUACAUUUUCUAGUGUCCUAGUGCCUUUUAAAUCACUGUGACCUAGGUCCUAGAGUAGGUCCAUGUUGGCAUAUCAAUGUUUAUUUUUUUACAAGUAUUUUAUUAUGAGACGUUCAUCUUCAGUUUGGGACAGUUUAAAUUGCACUUCCGGAUGAUUCUGGGACAGUGAUGAAAAAAGUUAGUCGAGCCUAGCCGACUCAAUUCCACAAUUAACGAUGGAGCUGAGCAGCAACUAGUGUGGGCGGACUGGAGCUCCGAUGUCACAUAAAAUGAAGUUGUAUGAAAAACGACUGAUUUCAGCAUCCAAAGAAUAGCCCACCCGCAAUUAACGGAGCUCCAGUCCCCUCACACUAGUCGCCACUCAACUAAUAUAACGCAUGCUCCACUCUCAAGUUGAACUUGUUGACUGAUGCCAAGGUGGAGGCUGCAGUUGCAGACCAGAAGACUGCAGCCAAGGCAGCACUGAUCCACACCUGCCCUGUCUGUUGGGUGAGUAGUGUUUGUUGGUACUGUAUGUGCUUUUAGGUUCCUCUCCAUGUGUAGGCUAUUGGACUGGACUGUGUGGCAGUCUAUUAUAUGUGUAGUAGUUUGUUGAAUCAUAUUGCUUAGUUUAUCAUUUGUGUAAACUUUCAAGUCAAUCGAAGCCACAGAUUAACUUCCUCCAUGUUGUACUUGACCUUUACAGACACAGACCCGAAGACAUUCAAGAAGAACUUUGAGUAAGCAUCCCAAGUCUCCAAUGGUUCCAGUACUGGUUGAUGUACAGGCCUAAGUGACCACACACUCAAAUGGACCUACAGCUGGGACACACAAUGACCACAAUUUGAAGGCUGUAACAGAGACGGAAUGAUGUCGAGGGACGCGCCCUGAGACCCCGAGUAUAACUGGACAUGGGCCGGAUAUGUGACAACGACCUAAAAGGGGUGCAGAAGCAAACCAUUUUAUAUUUAUUACAUGGCCAACAAUCCCUCUAGCUACCCCUUAUUCCAUAUAGCUUUUUUUGCCCCCUGGUCCCUCAACUUUGGACCUCUGCAUCUUCUCUAUAAACCCACCCUACCUUCACCCAUUUUCCCUAUGCUGCUUCUUUCACUUGUUGUUCUCCUGAUUUGAUAACAUCAAGACUCAGUAACACAUUUAAAAGUGUUGCUGUGUACUACUGUUUUUGCUACUUUUCACUUCAGUAAUGCUGUCCUGCUGCUUAUUCUGGGGUUUUGACAAUGCAAUGUCAAAUGUGCUGCUCACAAUUGACAGCAGAAAAAUGUACCUGUUAAAUUGACAAGAAGAGUGUUGAUAUAACUGCGUUUAGGCAUGGCUACCUUGUUUUGAGUCUUAAGUGCGUUUCUCAUUCUACUUGAGUUGACACAGUAUUUUAUAUUUAACCUACCUUAGCCAUUUUUUUCUCCAUUUGUAACUCAACCACCAUAAAUCACAAUCUGCUGUUUUACAUUGUGUUAUUUGUGAUGGUCUAAUUCCCAAAAUGGACAAGCAGAAUAAUCUGUGUGUGCUCGGAUAGUAAUAAUAGUUAAUAUGGUGCUCUUCGAUGUCCCAGGUUUGUGGCAUUGACUAAUAAAUAAUUGUAUCUUUACUUCAAGUUAGAUGUUCAUAUGUUAUGUAUGAAAGACAUAUGUAUGCAUUGUUCACUAUUUCGAUUUCUUUAAAACAAUGUAAUUGUUGGAGUUCAGGUGUUUGAGUGACUAGGUGCAUUCUUGUCAAAUAAAUAUGCUUAUUCAUUCAU
Molecule: long non-coding RNA, 3524 nt
Organism: Oncorhynchus tshawytscha (Chinook salmon)
Lineage: Eukaryota; Metazoa; Chordata; Actinopteri; Salmoniformes; Salmonidae
Exons: 2
Source: RefSeq, a predicted model, not a curated record